Non-coding RNA from Sus scrofa (pig), 4010 nucleotides. The record is from RefSeq and is a predicted model, not a curated record. Lineage: Eukaryota; Metazoa; Chordata; Mammalia; Artiodactyla; Suidae.
UGUGUCCUCAUGGAUACUCGUUACUGCUGAGCCACAACAGGAACUCCUGAAUUAAACUCUUAAAUAUACUAUUUCAUAAUGUGAGUUUUGAUCCACUAUUAUCCUGUCCCAGUUUCAUUACUUUGACUUCUUAAUGCAACAGUUUGACAACUGAGAGAAAAAUGUUAGAUUUCUCUCCAAGUUGAAGUGAUUUCUGAAGAGCCAGCAUGGGACGUGAGGUGUGUUUUCCUUCUGCCCAUCAGCUGCCUGGUCCUUCCUCUCCGUGGGCCUGGCACUGCCUGUCUCAUUCCCAACUACCUUCCCGCUUUGCCGUCACACUCAUUUUGCCCUCCCGUUGUGGGCACUUGAGCCGGGGGGACGGUCAGCCCUGCAGGAGCGCUGCUGAAGGAAGAAGAAUGGGAGGGAUGAGGGGGAUGCUACUGUCGCAUCACAGGCUAGGACCUCAGCUGCUGUGUGUGUCCUAGCAGUUUGAUGUAGCACCGCAGGAUGAGGUCAGUUGCAGGAGUCCUAUCUUUUGGAUGUGAGUCCGGGUUCCCUCGCUCACUGCAGGGUGACCUGGGGAAGACUUCAUCUCUAUAAGCCCCAGUUUCUUCCUAUGUAAACCAAGUGAGAUAACAGUAACUAACCUCUAUGAAAUAAAAAGAUUAUCGGUGCAAUGUACUGGGUAUCAUGCCUACUGAAUAGCUAGUGUCCAAUAAGAAUUAGCUUGUAUGGUCUGUUACAGCCCUCCGCCCACCCCUACCCUGCCUCCCCAUCCGCAGACUGGUCCCUUACACUCCUGUAAUCUACGUUCCAACUCAGGCUCUCCACCACAUUGUCAACCUGAGCUUUGCCAGCCUUGUCUCCAAGCACCCGUCGAGUGCUUAGAUUUUCAAUGUUAGAUUUUCAAGUCUUUUGGCACUUCACCUGGGCUCAUAAUGUAUCCCACAGGCGCUGAAAAGAAGAAGAGUUAAUAUUAGCUCUUGUUCCACCCGCUCACGUGGUUUGAAAAGAGAGAACCAGCAGCAAAAAUCUUGCUCCUGAUCAGAAUUUUUCUUUUCUGCUUUCAGUUUUUCUUCUCAGGGGGCCAUAGGAAAUUGAACUUGAAACUAUGAUUUGUCCUUUCUUUUCCAGUCUCCCAGGAAAAUCAUUAAGUUUUUUAGCAGAUGCUGGGGAGAGACUCAUUUUCUUUUCCAUUUAACAAACGAUACAUUUUUGACCAGGGUUUCUUGAACUCCACAUACUAGCAAGAUGGUUUUUGCUUUACUGCCUUCCUCAUUUCAUUUUAUCAGCACUGCCAGCAAAACUCUGGGAAUGCGAUCUGUUAGGCCAUGUCUUCAGCAGCCAAGAUUUGAAGGGUGCAACAGAUUGAAGGUUUUCAAACCACAGAACAAUGCUUCCAAUUUUUGUUCGGUGAGCAAUGAAAUGCUUUCUUGUGGGAGCCCUUGCUCCCUCUGUUGGGUAAAUGGAUGACUUUCCUUGGAUGCUGUAUAAAAGACUGAUUAAAGAAAAAUGGCUGCAGGCAGCUGCAAGAUGGAUUCUUCAGCCCAGUAUACAUUCCUUGCUGUUAAAAGCAAGUUUAAAUCAGGUCCGAUAACCAUUCACUACAUCCCUGAAGUCUGCACAUAAGUCACCCACUCGGGAAGGGAGAAGGAGGCUGGUAUAUUAAGUGCUGGUGCACAGGUCUCAAAUACCCGGCACCCCAAAUGUCAGGUGAGUUUUACAUGGGUCAUGCUUAAAUCCUCCAUUUAAUUGUGACUGUUGGUUUGUCCAAGUAGCAGAAAGCAAGCAAGAGGAGAAAAAAAUGUUUGACUCUAAGAACUCUGACUCACUAUAAAUAAAACAAACUCCAAUAUUGCUUCCACUUUAGUUUAUAGUCCUUUGAUUUUUCCACUCUAAUUUCCAUUCACUUGACUUGCAGUGGGUAAAUCUUGCCUGGCUUAAAGAUGGGCUUGUAUGCCUUUGUUCAAACCAUGAAUUUCCUACCUGGGCAGGCAGAUAGAUACAUCCAUAAACACACCUCUGGGUAUAGGUGCACAAAGAGAUCCCAGCAGCUAAUCCUAGCCUUAUAAAAAAGAUGUGCAUUCCACAUGCACUCUCUAGAAGAUAGAGUGCACUCCCUCCCCAUCAAUCCACAGUCACACAACAUUGGGAGAAGUCAUGUUUUUUUUUUAAGCAUAAGCAAGAUUUUUUUAGUAAAUAACUAUUUACUAAGCAUGUACUAUGUGCUAUGAGUCCUUCUGGGUGCACACAGAUAUAAGACACUGAUGAACAAAAUCCAAAGAGUUGAGACACAUCAGUGAACAAAGCAAAGACCCUCACUUUUGUGGAGGGAGAAACACCACAAGCAUAAUAAUGAAGAUAAUUACAUAGUAUAUUAGAGGAUGAUGUACACUAUUUGGGGAAAAGAAAAAAUAAAGCGAGGUAAGGUGGUUGGAAGUAAGGAAGCAGUUUUAAACAGUGGUCAGGAUAGGCUUCAGUGAGAAGGUCAUCUCUAAGAAAAGACGUGAGGGACUUGGGUUAUAGCAGAGAGAGGAUGGAGCUGCAUCAGCUGAGAUUAGGAAGGCUGAGUGCACUGCACAUUUGUGCUAUGACGGGACAGCUCAGGUUUAGCCAUAUUGGAUUUCAGAUACCUAUCAGACAUCUGAGAGGGGGAUAGUGUUAAAUAAGCAGUGGGGUGUGUGAGCCAUGAAUUCAGUUGACAGGUCUACACAACAGCUAAAAAUGUGUGACUCAUAGCCUAUAGGUGGUUUUUAAAGUCAUAAGGUUGUAGGGGUCACUAAGAAGGUGAGAGGAGUUAGAGACAAAAGAGGACCAGGAUUCCAGAGCUGACAUGGCACAGCUUUAAGAAAGUGGAGAGAAGAGGUACCUGUGGAGGGGGACUGAGAAGAGGCAGCCGGUGACGGAGGAGGAAAACCGAGAUUGAGGUGACCCAGAAGCCACAUGAAGACGUGCACUGAGGAGGAGAGAGUGAUCACGGCUACAGAGGCUCAGGAAGGUGAGAAGUCAGAAGUGAUCCCUGGAUUUCGCAACAGUGAGGUCUUGACAAAUAGCACUCGUGAACUGUUGGGGAAGAAAGCCUGACGGACAUGGGUUUGAGAGUUAAGAGCUCACUAAUAGAGGCUCCUUUGAAGAGUUUGGUGCAAAGAAUGGCCAGCUCAGGGAGGGACAGUCUCUCCUCAGCCAGAAAAGUAUUUCAAGAUGUCAAAACAUCAUAACUUACAGAAAAUAAUAAGUGCAUUAUUACACAAGGACAGCUAAAGCGCCUGGACAUUACAUAUAAAACAAACAUACAAAGACUGAAAUGUGGAGAAAAGAAAGCAGAUUGGCAAAGGACUCCAGGACCCAAGAAAUGACCUUCUGCGGUAACGAUUAGCCUGAAGUACUCAACCGCAGAUCAGCUGGAACCUAAGGGCUGAUGACAUUGACCUUUUCUGGCACUUGUGACUUCAAUCAAUCAAAGCUUGGACUCCAUUGACCUUUUCCCCAAUUCUAUGCUGAACUUUCCUCUGCUCAAGUCCCUUCCCACAGAUGCACAUACCUUUAGCUUAAAACUUCCCCAGUUUUGCUCUUUGGGAAGACACUGCUUGGGGAAAGAUGACCGGUGUUCUGCUUUCUUGCAACAAGUAAUAAAUCCUUCCUUCUGCCAAUCUUCGGCUUGGUUGUGUUUUUUUGGCUUGACACGCACAAAGAAGUGAACCCAGUUUUUGGGUAACAAGAAGAGCCAAGAAGGGAGUUGGGAUUUCACAAGCCAGUAAUGAGGCCCACUCUUUCUGUGAUGAACUUCCAUUUCUGCCCAGCAGCAAUGUGGUGCCUCUCCCUCUCCCUACUAGAGUGGUUUCAGAGAGGCCUAGUGGAGAGUCAUGACUUUCACCAUCAUCCAAGAGAAAUUAAAUUCUUCCCACUGCAAAGUCAGUGGAGACCACUUGGGAGGUUAGAAUUCCCAUUUUCAUUUAUAUCCUGCAGUAACAAGAAAUACCUCCUGCCCUCAGGGUGGCCAACUUCAGCCCUAACAUAUCAAUAAUUACAUU